AAGCGUCUCUCCCCACCUAGUGGUCAUUGGGAGAUUUUUAAUAGAGCGAUGGCCUAAAGCAGGGGAUUACCAGCACCGCGAGGGAUGCAUCUUGCUUUUUUUCCAUGCCAGUACUGGGAAGAGAUUAUUGAUCUUUCUUUUUGUGUCCAGCCGAGGUGAAAGCAGACAGGAGGAAUUCUGCAGGAUCCCUUUGUUCCUAAUAGACUCAUUAAAACAUGAAGAGUGUAAGAAGCUGAACUGAUGCUAGGAAAAGGUUGUAAGAAAUGAUGGAGUGGUGGAUGCUCAUGUUUCUUUACUCCAUAAUCUACCUGUUGUGGGUUUUGCAGUGAGUGAGAACAAAUUUUAUAUGUGACUGGGACAGAAAUGUCUUCAUUGCUCGAAUGUUUGGCCUAGUGGUGGGUAAUCCCUUCUGCAAAGUGUGCAGAGUUGAGCGAGGGGAGAAGAAUAUAGAAUUAAAAUGCAUAUGUCUGUUAAGCAAAGCUGGUACUUUUCUAAAUUUGAAUAAAGAAGCAAAGAGAUUAAACUGUGAAAGCAAAUAGAAUUGUGCGAAUUAUUCCCAUGCUGGUGCUCAAAGGUGUUAUUGGUAACAUUGACAGAGCAUGCAUGGAGCAAAACAGCUUCACAUGAGACAUUCCACUACUUUCUGCUUGACUAUUCGUACAGAGCUCACAUGGCUGUUACAUGGGGAAUGGUCUUUCUGGGGAAGGCAGUGCUUCAUUUACUACUCCCUUUCUAGAGCAAGGCCACACCUCGAGGGCUGUGUUCAGUUUUGAGCCCCUCGCUACGAGAAAGGCAUUGAGUUCUCUGGAGCAUUUCCAGAGAAGGGCAACAAAGCUGGUGCGGGUCUGGAGCACAAUGGAAAUUGUUCAAGAACCAUGGAGACGUGGCAGUGAGGGAUGUGGUCAGUGGGCAUAGUGUGGGUGGACUGGAGGUUGGAUGGGGUGACCUUAGAAGUCUUUUCCAGCCUCAAUGAUUCUAUGAGACAUAUGAACAGAGCAGCCAAGUGUGCCUGCAGCCCCAGCAGUGCCUCAGGCUGCUGAUGUAUGGCUCAGCCUCAGGGCUAGAGCUCAUCAUAUUUUCCAUUUAAGCAUUAUUAUUUUAUAACUUUGAAAUGAGGAUAAUGAUAUUUAUCUUUCCGUGAACAAUGCUUGGAAAAUCAAAGACAAAAUAUAACAAUUAAAGACUUUACUUGCAUCAGAAGUGCUGGCUGAGGCUUGUUAUCUGCAGGAAUUCUGGGUUGCCCUUCCCUCUUUUAGACUGUAUCCUGCUGUUCUGCAUGCAGACAGGAACAGGGGACCCAUGUCAUGCUGUUGCUGUUUCCUCCAGUAAAGGAAUUUAAUGGAAGACUCUUAUAGGAAAUCCCUGUAGCUUAUGGCUGUUGUUUUGUUUUGUUUGUUUUUUCCCCUUGAAAAAGAGCCUUGAAUGCCAGUAGAGGUUGGUGGCCUUGCCUGUGGUAGGGGGUUGGAGCUUCAUGAUCCUUGAGGUCCCUUCCAACCCAAGCCAUUCUAUGAUUCUAUGAUUCUGUGACUGACAUGAGCCAAAAGGAGCUACUUUGCCUGGGGCAGGAUGGCUCAGGAGAGACCAGCAAUUCAGGCAGAGAUUUGUGCAGGGGGCUCCGCUAUCCUGCAUCCUGUGAUAUCAGCCAGCUCCACCAAACACCCCAGGUACCUGCUCCCUUGCAGAUGAGCAUUCCCCUCCUGUACACCCAAUUCAGGGAAUAAGGGAUGACUCAUGUCCUCUGAGAUUCCUUAUAUUUCUCCAGAUAAACCAACCAAGCAAGAAGCUGAUCUAAUAAAUCCUUUUAACUGUGAUUUGAACUGCUCUGGGUUUCAUGCUGGAGAGCAGAUGGAUGUUUCCCCUGGUAGAAAAUGGGUUCCCAUUGCUGUGAGUUUUUCCAGUGGACAUCUGCAUCUAUCUGACAGAGUUUAUUUUUAAUAAAACCCUAAACUAGAAAGGGAAUCUGAAAUCCAUGUGGCACCAUGGGAAGGGAUCAAAUUGUCGUAUAGAUCAAGUGAAGAGGAGAAAGAAGUAUGGCAUUGGAUCCCUAUGUGCAACUGUCUUUCUGCAAGGUACAGUGGGAUGAUUCUGGUGUGCAAGAAGUACAAGUUAAAUUUCUUCCUUCUUUCAAACCUAAUUAUUAUUUUCUCUACUCUAUAGAGACCUUUCAUACUCUAUCUUACACUGGUACAAUAAAACAGAUGGAGAGAGAUGUGUAUCUUCCCUCCAUCUCCUUAUCAAUACCUUUGCACAAUAAAUAACAGGAAAACAGAGCUUGCUUGUCAGUGUUACAAGCUGUCCUUGCUUUCUCUAAACAUACAGUCAUACACAUUUCAGUUUGUUUUGUUGCUGACUUCUUUGAAAUAAAUAAUAUGGGAUGGAGCUGUGAACACACUGUCUCACUUAAGAUCUUAAAUCACAGAUUCAUAGAAUGGCUUAGGUUGGUGAAGACCUUCAAGAUCAUCUAGUUCCAACCACCCUGCCAUGGGCAGGGUUGCCAACCACCAGAUCAAGCUGCCUAGGGUCUCAUGGAACACAGCCUUGGGCAUCUCCUGGGAUGGGGCAUUCACAACCUCUCUGGGCAGCCUGUUUCAGCACUUCAACUUAAAUAAAGAUUGCUAAAUAAGGUCUUAGUAACAGUCAAAUACAGCCUUCUUGCUUGAGGUCAUCUGCUUGCUCCUGGAGUUUUACUUUCUGUCAUUAACAUGAGUAAUGAAAACAGCGAGCACAACUGAGCACAAUGGACCCUUCAGGAUCCCCAAAGCAAUAUGCUGUCAGUUUGAGGACAAACUGUUGGGAUGUGCUUUUGUGGGCAGGUACCCAUGGAAACCAGGUUUUCCCAGCUUGUCAUGACUGAAGUCAAGAUAUCCAACUUUCACCCCUCCUCCUUUCUCAGUGAUAUUGCCAGAGAGGGAAAUGAGUUUGGAUUUGGUACAGUGUGUUCCUGAUGCAUGCAUUCUGGCUUUUUUAAAUCUCUUUACUUUCCUCCUGCUGUUUAUAAAAGGAUUGUUUAAUAAUUUGCUCUAGUCUCUUUCCAGACUGACAGUUUCAUGGUUCCCCAGAUUCCCAUUUUCCACCUUAAAACUGGUGAGGUACUCUCUUUACCCUUCUGGUAUGCAGCACAAGUGAUUUCACAUCAAGAAGAAGCAAGAUGAUAUUGCAUUAUGACAACAAUUCUGAGUCACUGUGAGGACUAGUCAAGAAAACAACAGUGAUGGGAAAUGAGUGUAUCAAAUAGUUUGGGAGUUUUGCUUCUGGUAUUUUGGUGUUCUGAUAUUUAGUGCACAACUCUUCACCUCCACCUUUCCACCUCCUGAAUUUAACUUUUCCAGCAUGCUUGUGAUUGCCUGAAUAUAUGUAUAGCAUGCAGCUUCACUCGUAUCCACAUUAAUCCCCCAUGUUCAAAACUAGGAAAGAAGCCCAUAGUUUAAUAAAAGAUGAAUCAUCUUCCCAAGCAGCUUAUUGGGAAGAAAUUUCUAUUUUUUCUCUGACAUUGUGUUAUUGACUUGUUUUGGGGGAUUAGAUACUGGGACACACCACUUCUAUAAACUUGUUCAAUAAGCUAUAUAAGGCACAAAUAUUCCGCAAGAAAACUUUACUUUUCUUGCUGCUGAUAACUAUAUCCUUCUUUUAUUAUUCAGAGCAUGAGACAACAAAGCAAGAGGAAAGUCCAGAAGAUACCUGGAUCAUUAAUAAUUGUAUUAAUAAUACGGUAAAUAAUUAUAUAAUGAUAUAAUUUUCCCUUUUUCUGUCUUUGUGUUUAUGGGACACAAUGUUUAAAUCCAAGUGCAUCGAUGUUUACAGUGAUUGUUUCUCACAGCUUAGAACAUUAAAGUUCCAGGAGAUUCCGUCAUUCCCAAGGUAGUUAAUUUCAGAUCUAACAUCCUGAUAUGUAACAUCGCAUGAAAUAUUCACUUAUUUAAAGCUGAGCAGGCAUUGUGAUGGCAUUGCAGUUGUUGUUGACUUGCAGAAGAAUGUUCCUCUUCUUACAGUGCAGAACUGUGGCUCACACCUCACCCCUUGCUAUGACAUCUAGGUCCUUUGCAUGGGCACACAGGACAAAUCAGCAUGUUGAAGAAACAAAGGGAUGACUGAGUUGCUGGAAGUGAGAACACAGAUAAUUGCUUGUGGGAUCAACACUUUAAUUAGACAUUGUCUCCUCCUUUCCUUCAUACCAUGAGAUUUUGGUCACUUUCUCUGGCAGUAAUUAUCUUCCUUUACACACUGCAUUUCUGCAGUGCUUUUCCAUGGUACAGAACAAAGCAUUUAAAAACAAGAAUUAUUUUUUUCUCCUCAGUACUAAAGCAGCUUCAUCAUAUUCCCAAGUCAAAUAUCUCAAUUAUUUAAAGCAGAUCUCUUCUUCAUUCCUUCAGUAUUCGUCAGCAGAAAUUAAGUUGGCAGAGAAAUGUCAUGACCACAUAGUCCACUUUCCAUACUUCCAUUCCUGAGAGCUCUCAGUCAAGUGUCUGCUAUUGAAGAGUGACUGCAGCCAAGAGUAGAAAGUGCUGGAGAUGCUAAAAGAGAGUUUGGUGGGACAGAAGGCAGCUUGGUGGCUGAGGUGGCGGAGUAAGAUUUGACUGUUGGGUCACUAGAAAGACAAGUCCUCCAGAAUAACCAAUCUGCAUUCUGGUGUGUCAAACAUAAAUGGAUGGAGAGCAGCUGGAAAAUGAAAACACACAUUGGAUCGUGGAGAGGUGACUGAAGGGUAAGCCCAGAAAAAAAUUCAUCCACUGCUUUGUGUAUACAUUAAAGCUGCAAUCUAGUCCUUGGCCACAGAUGGAAAUCCAUCAGGCUGCUCCCAGGGCUCCUUUCUGGGGCUAAAAAUGCUCGAGUUUGUUUGGUAUCUCUUGAAGACUAAGAGGCAGUGCCAGAUAGGAUAAAAAUUAAAAUAGGAUACAUUCAAAUGCUGACAGGGUGGUGUCUGAGACAGAAUGUGUUUGAAAAGAGGAAAUGAGAAAUACAUCUAAAAAAAAUAAUGGAUAUUGGCUGAAGGCUCGAGGGAGAAGACUAUACUGACCCAGUACUGGGUGCUGUUUCACUGGCUUCUUUUGUGUUCACUGAGAUGAAUUUGGCUCAAAUUACAUAAAUGACAAAAACAGAUCAGAAGAUAAUUAUCUAUGUUAUUUGGACAGAGCCUUGCUUCUGGUGGUUGCUGUUCACAGCUAAGGCUCAGGAGUGGUUUCAUAAUACAACUACCAAAAACUAAUAAUGCAGGUGAAUUGUUUUGCACCUAGUGUAGAGGAAUAUUGUAAAACCUCCAACAAUGUAGCUGGUAAAUCUAUGUUCAUUUUAAAGUUCCAGAUGGUUUUAACAUUAACUCUGAUUUUCUGAACAAAACUGCCUCUAAUACAACAUCCUCAGAAUAUCUGAGUUUGAAUUGUGGUUGUCUUGUCACUUGUGAUGACCAGGGCAGGCAGUUUCCUCUACUGUUUCAAAAAGUGUGAUAUACAGUUUUGUACUGUGCACCAGGAGCAGCAAAAUGAGAGCCCAAAUUAAGUCAGGAAGAGGCAGUUCUGGGUGCUGUGUGAGGAUGGGGCCCAGAUUUUGUUAACUGCUUUGCACUGAAGGAAACUAUCACCUUAGCAGUGAAACUGCUGCUUUGCAUGUUAUUUGGCAAGUCUCCCGACAGUUCCUACAAAUGAUCUAAACUCUUGACACUGUCUGUCCAAUGAUGAUUAUGCACUGGGAUUUUCUGCUCUCAGCCCCUGUUUUCUACGUGCACUUAAUAUUCUUGGCUGAUGCCUGGGGUCUUGGUAGGAUUGAAGGUGAACUUCCUUUCAGCUUACUGAGUUUGGAAAGAUAGUUCCCAUGGGAAGGGGGGCGGUGAGCAGAAAAGAUGAGACUGCAGAGCAGCAUGCCCUCGUUUUCCUUCUUCAAGGCUUUCUCGGGUGUUCAGUGGGAUAGGGAAAGCUCUCAUGUAGCCUUUCAAGAACACAGUAUUUUUCAUCAUUCAAGCACUUCUCCAGCACCUAGAACUGUGGGUGUGUAUUACACACAUCCAGGAAAGGGCUUUCAACAGAUUUCCUGAUUCUCUUGUUCAUGGACCCCAAACACCUUUCCCACAAAAGAAGGGUUUAGUGGAAACUUUCCUUUGCAAAAUUCCUGAAUGCCUUUUUGCCUUUCUGACAUCAGUUUACAGGAAAGCACUGCAUGACCCUUUGUAAUAUUAGGAAGUAUUGUUGACUAAUGUGAAUGACUUGUGUGUUACUUUAAUUUCUAACCUCAGCUGAAAAAUGGCACAAAUGAUUGCAUGGAGACCAAUAAAUUGCUAUGGUGGGGCAGAACAGCAUGAAGAGGUCACAGAGCUUUCAAAACCUGAGUUGUAAUGGCCAAAAAUUAAAACCUCAGGUGGAAAAACAAGAGAAAUUUCCCAACGGUGCAUUGUACCACGCUUUUGAAAAAUGCAUGUGAGGAGAGUCAAAAUCCCAUUAAGGAGGGUUGUUGGAACAUGGCUGAAGGAACUUCACCGAGCAGCACCCACCCUGUACAUAGGUCCAUGGCUCAUGGCCAUUGCAAGUGCGUCUGAUUUUGUUCUUGAACAGUGACUGCUGAACAUCUUAAUCAUUACUUAAUUCAGGUUAUUGUUAAAUGAUUUCUUCUCUGUCUUUUCUCUGGGGAAAUGUUAAAUUAUUCUUUUUUUUUUUUCCUCUCUUUUUUUUUUUUUGCCCAUCUGUCUAUGGUGUUUUUCUCUUCCUGGAAGAAAUCCAAGUUCUGUAAUUAAGGCACUGGGAACAGUAAGAGGUUUGAUCAGUGGAUAAAACAUAAUUAUACUAGAUCUGUGACUCUCACUGCAGUAAAUAUUUUAACACCUUGGGCCAAAUCCUCCAUUAACACAAGCGGAGUUACUGGAGAUCAAACUGUCUUACGCCAACUGGGAAUUUGUGUAAAACUGCACAGACUACUCCAGGCUGGUGUGUGGGAAAACAUUGAAAAAAAAACACCUAGUAAUUACCUUAGUAAGAUGAUGAAGUUGCAACACUCUGAGCCCAAGAGACUGUUCAGAUGAAAUAUGCUGGAUUUUUUUUUUUUCCUUUUUGUUUGGCUUGGUCACUCUUUUUGCUUGGUUGGUUUGUUUUGGUUGGGCUUUUUUGUUUUUUUUGUUUUAUAUCCUGUGACAUACAUUCGUGAUUUUUUUCCUCUUGACUCUUUUUGAAGAUCCUGAAAUAGAAUUAUGUCUGUAUGGGUAAUGUUUUCAAAACGAAUCUCUUUUACUGCAGUGUUGAUUACACUCUGUUUUCAAGUUCAGUUGUGUGUAUUAAUUAGGCAGUCGCUGUAACUUAUACCUUAAUUGUUGGGCUCAGGUGAGGUUAUGUGGUAGAAAGAUUUUAGACACAAAAAUUGCAGAGAUUGUUUUGGAGAAUAGCACCAAAUUAACUGAAUAAUUCCUAAAUCCCACUGUUUCUGGAUAUCUUAUUAAUCUCCUGAUGAAGUCCAGAUCCUAUUUCCAUGCCAUAGCUAGUAGCAAUCACAAUUUCUGGCCUUCCUGACCCAUGGAAAUGCUGUAAUGGGAUAUCAGCCAUGUCCCCAAAGGUUCUCUCUGGCUGUGGGCCUUGGGGCAGCUUGACUUUAAGUAUUACUCAUUGGACCUUCAGAGUACCAGAUGUUGUCCUGCUGACUCCUCACCCCUCUGGGUGGGUUGAAGGCUAUAGAGGGACAUGCAGGAAAACUGUGUGCCACAGACAUAGGAAAAGAAGAAAUUCUGGGUGGAACAACCCCAGGCAAGGCUAUGGAAAAUUACCAAGAAGACUACAGAUGAACCAUAACACAGCCUGAGAAUCUGUCCCUCCCCAGGCUGUGUUGACAGUCCUUUUAGCUAGUCAAGGCUUACUUCCUAAAGAAUUUCAAGAUGUUACUGCUGAACAAAUAAAGAACUUGGUGAGAAGAUGAACCUCGUGGCUGUGCCAGACCUCUCCCUGCUGCUGUUGCCAGGUAAAGGGGCCUAAAUGUUUCCACAACUGGAAUCUUUGCUGCAAUAAGCGAGCUGAACGAUCAGCUUUCUGCCUUGUCACAGGUGGAUUAUGAGGCUCAGGAUCAUGCUUAAAGGUAGUGAUAAGAUCUUAUAGAAAAAUGAGUGUUUAACUCAUUGGGGAAGCAACUUCUUCCCAUCGUACAUCAAGCAGUUAUUUGCAGAAAUGACCUGCUGGAUAUUUUUGGGAGUGUUCACCGUUUGACUGCAUUUCCCUCUGCGGGAAUUGUUCAGAAACCAGAAGGAAACGAAAGCAAGACCAAAAAAAAAAAAAAAAGGAAAAGAGAGUGAAUUUAAGGCCAUGGAAGUCCUAUGGCAAUUCCUUCUUGCUGAAAUUUCUUCUCAGAAAGAGCGGUGAGGCAUUUGAAGAGGCUGGUCAGGGUGGUAGUGGAGUGAACAUCCCUGGGGAUGUUCAAGAAAUGUGGAGAUGUGGCACUGAGGGACAUGAUUAGAGGGCACAGUGGGGAUGGGCUGGGGUUGGACUGGGUGAUCUCAGUGGUCUUUUGCAACCUUAAUCAUUCUAUGAAAUUCUGUGCAAGGGUUCUGCAGCAAAGGCAGCAGUAGUCAGUUGGCAACAGUUUUUAGCACAAAAGAAGACACAAAUCUCUCAACGUGUCUUGCUUCAAAAGCAGGACAAACAACCUAGUGUCUUCCAAGCAAUGACACUGUGACUAACACUAGAGAGCUUAAAGAAAGCAUUGAAUAUAAAUAUAACGUGAUUACAAUAUGAAGAAAAAUAACCUCAUUAAAACAGUAUGUUCCCAGCUGGAUUCUUUAUGAAACAGAGGUUCCAGAGAGCUAAGGGUAAAAAAUGAGUCUAUAAUCCUUCAUGUAUUAAGAUAUAAUGACUAUAAUACAAUGAAUAUAAUAUAAUACAAUGUGUAAGGUCUUACUUUUGUUCUCCAAAAACAGGGCCCAGGGCUCAGCUGGCCCUUCUGGUGGCUUCUAUCCUGAUGUGGAGUUGACGUGAAAACCCUUACCUCAGUUUAUGUCUGCACUGUGUGUAUGAUCAAAGAGUGAACCACAGUGAUCUUUAAAGUCAUCAGAAGGCCGCAUAUGUAUAAAAGAAUUAUUUCAUUAUGAUUCAGAAAUACCAAAAGCAUCGUUUCCCUUCAAGGUUUGCCAGUUCAUUUGAAAGAAGACGUAAAGGAUGCAUCUGUGCAAAGGUUUGGAGUUACGCAGCUGCAAAAGAGGGAAACCAGUUGUUUAUCCUUUCAGAAGUCUUGCAUUUGUGAAAGUAAACAGUGUGCAGAUUGAAAAAGAUGUAUCCCAUACCAUACAAUGGUGGCUGUCUACAUCUAGCUGUGAACACUCACACAGGAAAGCAGUUGGCUCUGGCCAUGAGCUUUUGGAAGCAAUAAUGAGAAAAGCUCACGACAGCACCAACAUAUCUAUAAAAAACAGUGAUGUUCCUAUAGAAAUAUGCUGUAGUUAACUGUAGUUAAGUACUGGCCAAGAGAAAAUACUCCCCAUACAGAUUUCUUGAUCUUGUUUUCAGGCAGGGGAAAACAAUUAGGAGAUAUUCUCAGGCAUGAAUUAUCUUUCUUUGGACCAAGUGGCUUUUGUGAGCUAGGAAAUCUAUUGCCCAACUAUGGCAAGAGGUUUUUUUUUUAAAAAAUAUUAUUUUUUUGCCAUUAAGCUCAGGGACUACUAUAGGAACUUGCCAGUAGGGGGUAUAGAAAAGAGAACUGUUAUUUCCAUGUUAUUAUUUGUAUAUAUAUCAGUUAGCUCUUUGCCUGUUGUUUGGCAUGGAUCAUUUUUGUUUUGUUUUAGUGGAAGCCACGAGCAUCAAGAAUGAGAUUUAUUAUACUUUUUCUUUUCUUUGAAUCAGUCUUGAAGUUGGCUGCUACCCUUAGAUUAGCUAUUGCAAACAAAUAAAGAUUUCAGUUUAGAUAUUUCACUCAGGGUUCAAAAGCCAACUAAACAAAGUCAUGGAAAAAGAACCUGAGAAAGGGCAUUAAGUGCAAAGAAAUCUCUUCUUUAGGAAGCUUCUGAAGUGCAAAGUAUCACAGCUUUGGAGGGUAACCUGGAUGAUAUCUACACAUAUCUGCUCUGUUUUUGUAUAUAUGUUCUUGGCCAGCUAUGGAAACAGAACACUUGGUCUUUCAUCUGAGGUAGUAUCUCUUUUUUUGUCCUCAUAUUCCUUUUUCAUGUCAUAAAAAUACAAUGGCUUUGCUGCUUCUGACACCUUUUCUCAGCAGCCAAAACUCUGAUGUGUGGAGCUGCACUGGAUCCACAUUAUAACAGAAAAUAAGACUGCCUCUCUAGCUUGUUGAUAUGGUAAUCUGUAUGCCAAAGGUUGUGUGUGAAAUGCAAAAAGAACAGGAUGCAUUGAAAUGAAAAGAGGCAGAGCAAUUGGGAGCUUCGCUCUUGUCUCCUGCUGUCUCCCAAUUGGAAACUGUCACAUUUUAUAAGUAACCAUUACAAAUUGAAAGGACAUCUCAUAAAACCUUAUGAAAAUCCCUUUAAAAGACUAAUACCAACUCACACAUUUCAUUAAAUAGCAAACAGAGCAGUGAACCUUUUGUGGUUGGUUCUAGUCCUAUGACCUCAUAGGACUUUGCUUUGCCUUUCUCCUGAUGAAAUCCCUUGCAAGAGAUGAAGAAGUUGCUUUAAUAUACCUGGUUUAAUCAAGCUGCCCAGACAGUCAAUUUUCACCUCUGUUAGGGAAUGAGAAACAUCCCUGCUUCCCUUCUCAUUGGCCUCAAGUGCCAUUCUGUCACGCAUGGCCCUCAGACCAGGUAAGUGGGAAGAAGUACAUGGUGGCAGCAGUCCAGUGGAAAGUCUAAUGAAAUGGUUCAGGCCACUGCAGCACUUACACGGGGUCAUCUGGUGACAUGUCUUGGAAAGCAUCAUACAGUAAGAGCCAGUGUUGUGCCCCUGGCCAAACAGGCACGGUCUGUGCUACUUCAGCUUGGUACAACCAAGUCACUUUGGUACAGUGAUAGCAACACAAACAGCACCUCCACAUGUAAUGCCACACAGGGUUUCAUCUGGCUAAAGAAGUACACAGCUAUGGGUUAGGAAAUAAAAGAUCUCUCCAGAGAGGGCUAAAUAAUCCUGUUUCACUGCACAUAUAGGCUCCCAUCCUUAUGUGAUGCUAUUUGAAUUAGACCUAUUUAUGUCAGUGGUACUUGAGUGGUGUAUUUGUAUGUUGGCUUGUGUUAGUUUAACUGGAAAACAUCCAGCUAAUCCAAGAAGUCUAGAUAAAGCUAUAGACUGUUGUUUCUCUUCUAAAUUUCACAGCAAUUUCAAGUCAAAAACCAGAGAGCAAAUGAAAAAAAUAUCAAAAAUUUUGAAAAAAACCUCCACUUAAUCAAAAAACCUUUAAAAAAUGAAACCUAAGCAGAUGUGUUGCUGUAAUAAGUGACUUGAGUUAGUUACAACAGGUUUGAAGAAUUCCAGAAGGACAUGAAUAAUGCUCCUCUUAUUUUACACCAGCAUUCUCCAAACAAAUUCACUGUUUUUUCUAUUUUUAUUAAGAUCUUCUAUGUUCCAUUAUAGACAUCUUCUCAGCAGAAAGCAGUACUCAGCCUCUGCUUUCAACAGCCUAGGCAGAAUUGUGUGCUAUUGUUGAUAUGCUGCUCCUGGAAAGCAGUCAGAAACAGGAGAUGUCUUGCAGGAAUGUGGAAGACAUCAUAUGUCUUGGAGCUUGGUGGGUUUCUGGCCAAAUUUACGUGGUCCAGGUUCAUAUUACUUUCAUAAAAUCUGCCCUUUGAGAGACUCCUAGCUAAGAAACCCGGAGGAGAUUGAAAAUCAAUGUAGAGCAGCAUCACCCUUGCCUGUAGGUUCUGAGUUAUGUGCGGCCCCCUAGAUGAAGGAAAAAGCUUUAGGUAUCCCUAUGAACCUAGUGAAAAUGUCUCCUCAAUGCAAAGCAGCUGUGAAAAGCUAACAACAGCAAGUAAGCUGCGUUAACAAGGGAAUAGGGAGUAAUACAGAAAAUCUGGGGGCCUGACAAGUUAAUCAGAGCUGGGCAGCAGCUUAAGAAACCUUAGAAGGAUACAAAACAGAGCAGCUCAAAUAAUUUCUACCAAGAGCUGCUGGAUAGAUUUAAGUGCUGGAGGCAGUUGGGUCAUUUCAUUUCCAAGAGGACAGCAGGUUGUAUGUGAAUGCUGGCAAGGAAAUGGAAGUUGAUUUGCAAUGCUACAGCUUGGGGUGAUGUUUUGCUCCUGUGCAUAAAGGUCAGCUCCUGUAUUGCUUAGGGAGAUUUAUGGGGCUGAAAAAGGUUUUAGGAAAAUGAAGAGAAGAGGUUAUUUUCUUAAUGAGGAGAUAAGAGAAACAAGGCAAAAUGGGAAACUUUUGGAGCCGUGUGAGAGGCAUGUGGGGACCUUUGUGGAGAUAGGCCAGUGGAAAAGUAGAUGUUUGGAGGCUGAGGAACACAUUUUGUAGCUGGUCCUCCUUCAGUAGGAAAUAACUGCAUUAGACCUUGCCUCUUGGCUUCUGGGAAAGGUGAACGUGGGAGUGCUGCAUUGGAUGCCUGGCAGAGCCUGUCAGUAGCACAUAAGCAUUUUCAGGAUUACAGAAGGCAAAGAGAGCAUAGAAGACAAGUGAAUGAGCAUGGAUGUCAUAGAGAACCAGAUUGUGAAGCAGUGUGACAAUCUCCCUCAGAGCUGGGAGCCCAUCAUAGCUAGGAUGGGAUAAUGUCAUUAUCUGAUGCUAAGUGCAAAGGAAAUGAUAGAGGUUAUUACUAUGAGCAAGGCUUCAAAACAUAAAGAUGACUUGGAGCUGCAGGGUAUGAGAGAGGAAAAGAGUUAGUAGGUGGAAGGUGGAGCAAAGGCAAAGAGAGGAGAAGCUGCGAGGAAUCAGAAUUGCAGCUAUUAAUUUUUACAUUGAGUCUCUGUUUAGAGUUCAGAGGGUGGGAUUAGUAAAAUUGCCACGUUUAAAGCAGAGGUCACUCUACUUUUCAGCUGUAGGUGAAAUUCAGCCUUACAAGUGAAGGCAGUGGAGCAACUGGAGGUGCACCUGCUUAUACUGUGGUUAAAGAUGCUCUAAUCUCUUUUAAGGCUGCUCCUCACUGAUGUGUCUCUUCACUGAUCUGAUUAUGCCAGCUCAUGAAUCACUGUGAUGUAUUUACAUUUCUAAACCAUAUUAUGCUUUGCCUGAAAUCUUUGUGUAAUUGGCAAUCAGUAUUACUCAUUGCAUACAACAUGAAAGAGAGAAACGCUUCCUCCUUUGGAAAAGCAACAUAUCCUCAGAGAUCAGAGAAUGAAGAGAUUUGGAGUUCCAACUUCAUUUUGGCCAAACUCGGUAGAGGGCUGAGGUGGCUCAAGGAUAGUGCUUGGAGGCUCUGCUCACCAACAUUUGCUCCAAGGGUGCAACCAGCUGCCCCUCUGAUCCAGUUCUUGUUCCUCUCAGUCUUGCCUCUGUCCUCAGGUCAGAAGCAUGCCAAUGGCAUCAGGAUUAGGACUGUCUCCCCAGUGGGGGGCAACUGCUCCAGAAACGAAGCAAGAACAAAGGUGAGAGGGACACAACUGCACACAGCCAGUCCAGGAGCAGAGGUUAACUCAGAGGACUCUUUCUUCCUCUCUUUUCCAAGCAGGAAUUUGAGAUUGCCAUCUUCUGUACCCUAAAAGUCUCAAAGAUGUGGAAAACUUUCGCUCUUCUCACAGCAUCUUAUUCUCUGGCCUCAAAUGUGCUGCAGCAUCUGCAAAGUCUUCCUUGCAGGAUUAGAAAUAAGAACUCUGUGCCCUUGAAAGGAAGGAAGCUUCCUCGAAGCCCACAGGAGUUUCAGUUCGGACCCUGCAGCCUCUCCCUGGUGUUGAGAUAAUGGACUUAAAAAGUUUGAACAUGAAGUUAUAAGUGUUACAUGGGCUCACUUUAGAAGUUUUGGGGGCUGCUUGUGAUGGCACAGUUGGACUGAUGGUAACUGAAGCACAGACUUUGCGGGUGAAGGAAUGUGAAAAACAUCAUUCAUAAAAUGAGACCAUUUUACAGUGCUGUUUUUUUCUCUUACUCCCCUCAAGGAUCAGAUUCUGGUUUAAGGGAAGCCUAUGGUAAAAUCAUAGCAUUAUAGAACCAUAGAAUGGCUUUGGUUGGAAGACACCUUAAAGAUCAUCCAGUCCCAACCCUCUGCUGUGGGCUGGUUGCCCCCCACCAGCUCAACCUGCCCAUGGCCACGUCCAGGGCCUUGGGCACCUCCAGGGAUGGGGCACCCAUAGCUCCCUGGGCAAAAAUAGAGCUUCUCAGACAAGUACUCCAAAAUGAGGCAAUACCUAUCUGAUGGCCUCUUCUGCCCCAGUGUCUAUUUACUGUGACAGUUUUUGGUUACAUUCCAAGUAAUAUUUUGUAUGUGAGCGCAUACAUGCCUCAUGCCCACUUGCUUGCAUCAUCUGUCUUUAGCCUGUUACAAUUUUUUGGGGCGUGUGUUAGUGAAAUCAAAAGGUAUGAAGAAAUAAAGCAAGAUGUAUAAGAAGCCUCAUGCUACAAGUAAGUUCAGUAAUGCUUAAAUCUGAUACAGGGAUUUUCCAUGAAACUACAGAAGAUUCUCAAACCUGUUUUCUUGCACUGUUUUAUUCUCUGGCUAUUUCCACAAACCUGUGAGAAACAGGCAUUUGGAGUACUUUAAAUGUUUCUCCAGCUCAAACAAUUCUAUGAAUUCAGUGGGCGCUGGACUCAUAAUCUUCUAACAAAGUGGGACUCCUUUGCUCUUGGAUAUCUCAAGUUGGACACUCACAAUUACCAGAUGAUUCUGACCUUAAUCUCACUGUGCCCCAGUUUCCUGUCUGAUCCCUUUAUGACAAGGAAAAAGGCAGAAGUUCACUGAUGCCUACCAAGCACCAGGAGAUUAGUGAAGAGCACCAUGAAGAAAUUAAUUCCUCCAUACUUGAGUGGAGUUUGGCUGGGGUCCCGGCAGUAUGGCACAGGGCCAUGUUGAAUGAGAAGUGUGAAGGAGAAAUACUGAGCAUUGCAUUCACUGAGAACCAUCCGGAGUGCAUCCUAGAUGUACAGCACACAGGAAGCCUGGAUUCUUCCUGAUUCCUGGGUGCUUGCCUCAGCUAUCCACAUCUGUCUGAAUGCUGUAUCUUCAUGCAAGUUCUGCAUCCCUUUGCUUUUGCACUGCCAAAGAUAGUAAGGGAUGGGAGCUCCAUAACCUCUAGGUCAGGUUGUCAAGACUUACCUGUGCAACACAGCAGAGAAUGAAGAAUUCUCACUGGUGCCAAGUCAGAUACCAGCAAGUACUUUGGCUCUGAAUUUUUGUCAAUAUUUUCCAUCAGUUUUUAUUUUUAUACCAAAGUAACAACUUCUGUCAAGGUUGUAUUGAUUUCCUGUCUGUCAAACCAAUUCAAAUUUUGAAAAGGGAACAAAACAAAAGAUGGAGAAAAAGGAAAGAAAUUAUAAUGUAAUCCCUCUGCCCACCUCUUUUUCCCCUCACAAUUAUUCUUUCUUGCUAUUACUAGCUGUUAACUUGGCUAUCAUCAGCUGUUAAAUACUCUACAUGCAGAGGUAUUUCCUCCUUUGUGUAGUCUGCAGUCCCAAAAAACAAUGAAGGAAUCCAGACACAUCUUCUGGCCGCAUCUACCAUAA
Long non-coding RNA from Tympanuchus pallidicinctus (lesser prairie-chicken), 15487 nucleotides. RefSeq lists it as uncharacterized. The record is from RefSeq and is a predicted model, not a curated record. The transcript is spliced from 5 exons. NCBI's taxonomy places the organism in Eukaryota, Metazoa, Chordata, Aves, Galliformes, Phasianidae.